RNAcentral lists this ribosomal RNA (626 nucleotides) under Salmonella enterica subsp. enterica serovar Montevideo. RNAcentral describes it as "partial 23S ribosomal RNA". It matches the Rfam family "Bacterial large subunit ribosomal RNA", at positions 711 to 1250 of the family's 2925-position model. The record is from RNAcentral. RNAcentral also lists the same sequence under 1 other name. Lineage: Bacteria; Pseudomonadati; Pseudomonadota; Gammaproteobacteria; Enterobacterales; Enterobacteriaceae.
AGACCCGAAACCCGGUGAUCUAGCCAUGGGCAGGUUGAAGGUUGGGUAACACUAACUGGAGGACCGAACCGACUAAUGUUGAAAAAUUAGCGGAUGACCUGUGGCUGGGGGUGAAAGGCCAAUCAAACCGGGAGAUAGCUGGUUCUCCCCGAAAGCUAUUUAGGUAGCGCCUCGUGAAUUCAUCUCCGGGGGUAGAGCACUGUUUCGGCUAGGGGGCCAUCCCGGCUUACCAACCCGAUGCAAACUGCGAAUACCGGAGAAUGUUAUCACGGGAGACACACGGCGGGUGCUAACGUCCGUCGUGAAGAGGGAAACAACCCAGACCGCCAGCUAAGGUCCCAAAGUCAUGGUUAAGUGGGAAACGAUGUGGGAAGGCCCAGACAGCCAGGAUGUUGGCUUAGAAGCAGCCAUCAUUUAAAGAAAGCGUAAUAGCUCACUGGUCGAGUCGGCCUGCGCGGAAGAUGUAACGGGGCUAAACCAUGCACCGAAGCUGCGGCAGCGAACGUAUCACCCAAGACAACUUUACGGAGUUGACGAUUGACGGAGCGAAGCGACGUCAAAGCGUUCAUUAAAGUCGAGUUGGCUUAGGGAUACGUUCGUUGGGUAGGGGAGCGUUCUGUAAGCCG